UGGUCUGUCGAGCAAGCUUAAGCCGGUAGGUGUAGGCGCAGCGAAAGCGAGUCUUAAAAGGGCGCACGAGUUCGACGGAUCAGACCCCGAAACCAGAUGAUCUAGGCAUGAGCAGGAUGAAGGUUGGGUAACACCAACUGGAGGUCCGAACCCACACCUGUUGAAAAAGGUCGGGAUGACUUGUGCCUAGGGGUGAAAGGCCAAUCAAAUCUGGAGAUAGCUGGUUCUCCGCGAAAAGCUAUUUAGGUAGCGCCUCGGACGAAUACCUUCGGGGGUAGAGCACUGCAUGGGUGAUGGGGUCCCACAGACUUACUGAGCCUAAGCAAACUCCGAAUACCGAAGAGUACUAUCCGGGAGACACACGGCGGGUGCUAACGUCCGUCGUGAAGAGGGAAACAACCCUGACCUACAGCUAAGGCCCUAAUUCGUGGCUAAGUGGGAAAGCAUGUGGGAUUUCCAAAAACAACCAAGGAGGUUGGCUUAGAAGCAGCCAUCCUUUAAAGAUAGCGUAACAGCUCACUGGUCUAAAC
This 530-nucleotide ribosomal RNA is filed under the name uncultured bacterium. RNAcentral describes it as "bacterial LSU rRNA". It matches the Rfam family "Bacterial large subunit ribosomal RNA", at positions 629 to 1155 of the family's 2925-position model. The record is from RNAcentral.